CCUACGGGCGGCAGCAGUGGGGAAUAUUGCACAAUGGGGGAAACCCUGAUGCAGCGACGCCGCGUGAGUGAAGAAGUAUUUCGGUAUGUAAAGCUCUAUCAGCAGGGAAGAAGAAAGACGGUACCUUACUAAGAAGCCCCGGCAAACUACGUGCCAGCAGCCGCGGUAAUACGUGGGGGGCAAGCGUUAUCCGGAUUGACUGGGUGUAAAGGGAGCGUAAUCGGUCCUGCAAGCAAGAGGGGAAAGCCCGGGGCUCAACCCCAGCCAGCCGUUGAAACUGGGGAUCUAGAGUGUGCGAGAGGUAUGCGGAAGGCGAGGUGUAGCGGUGAAAUGCAUAGAUAUCACGCAGAACCCCGAUUGCGAAGGCAGCAUACAGGUGCAAAACUGACGCUCAGGAACGAAAGCGUGGGUAUCGAACAGGAUUAGAUACCCGAGUAGUC
This 440-nucleotide ribosomal RNA is filed under the name uncultured bacterium. RNAcentral's name for it is "partial 16S ribosomal RNA". It matches the Rfam family "Bacterial small subunit ribosomal RNA", at positions 338 to 795 of the family's 1533-position model. The record is from RNAcentral.